Molecule: unclassified non-coding RNA, 278 nt
Organism: Saimiri boliviensis boliviensis (Bolivian squirrel monkey)
Lineage: Eukaryota; Metazoa; Chordata; Mammalia; Primates; Cebidae
Rfam family: Metazoan signal recognition particle RNA
About the family: The signal recognition particle (SRP) is a universally conserved ribonucleoprotein. It is involved in the co-translational targeting of proteins to membranes. The eukaryotic SRP consists of a 300-nucleotide 7S RNA and six proteins: SRPs 72, 68, 54, 19, 14, and 9.
Source: Ensembl
GUUCAGAACUGGAAGAAUACCAGGUACUCAGGAAUCCGAGGAAGCGAAAGUACUUGAGCCCAAGAAUUCUGGGCUGUAGUUUGCUCUGCUGCUUGGGUGUUGGCACUAAGUUUGGCAUCAUUAUGGUGAUCUCCUAGGAGUGGGGUACUCCAGGAGGAGUGAACCAGCCCAUGUAGGAAAGGGAGCAGGUCAAAAUUCCCAUGCUGAUCAGUGGCAGGAUCAUGCCUGUGAAUAGCCACUGCACUCCAGCCCAGGUAACAGAGCAAGAUUCCAUCUCU